This 253-nucleotide ribosomal RNA is filed under the name uncultured bacterium. Its description in RNAcentral is "partial 16S ribosomal RNA". It matches the Rfam family "Bacterial small subunit ribosomal RNA", at positions 524 to 776 of the family's 1533-position model. The record is from RNAcentral.
GACAGAGGGUGCAAACGUUGUUCGGAAUUACUGGGCGUAAAGGGCGCGUAGGCGGCCCGCUAAGUCGAACGUGAAAUCCCCGAGCUCAACUCGGGAACUGCGUCCGAUACUGGCGGGCUUGAAUCCGGGAGAGGGAUGCGGAAUUCCAGGUGUAGCGGUGAAAUGCGUAGAUAUCUGGAGGAACACCGGUGGCGAAGGCGGCAUCCUGGACCGGCAUUGACGCUGAGGCGCGAAAGCUAGGGGAGCAAACGGG